RNAcentral lists this ribosomal RNA (497 nucleotides) under uncultured bacterium. RNAcentral's name for it is "partial 16S ribosomal RNA". It matches the Rfam family "Bacterial small subunit ribosomal RNA", at positions 28 to 507 of the family's 1533-position model. The record is from RNAcentral.
GAUGAACGCUGGCGGCGUGCCUAAUACAUGCAAGUCGAGCGAACAGACGAGGAGCUUGCUCCUCUGACGUUAGCGGCGGACGGGUGAGUAACACGUGGAUAACCUACCUAUAAGACUGGGAUAACUUCGGGAAACCGGAGCUAAUACCGGAUAAUAUAUUGAACCGCAUGGUUCAAUAGUGAAAGACGGUUUUGCUGCCACUUAUAGAUGGAUCCGCGCCGCAUUAGCUAGUUGGUAAGGUAACGGCUUACCAAGGCAACGAUGCGUAGCCGACCUGAGAGGGUGAUAGGCCACACUGGAACUGAGACACGGUCCAGACUCCUACGGGAGGCAGCAGUAGGGAAUCUUCCGCAAUGGGCGAAAGCCUGACGGAGCAACGCCGCGUGAGUGAUGAAGGUCUUCGGAUCGUAAAACUCUGUUAUUAGGGAAGAACAAAUGUGUAAGUAACUAUGCACGUCUUGACGGUACCUAAUCAGAAAGCCACGGCUAACUACGUG